RNAcentral lists this unclassified non-coding RNA (333 nucleotides) under soil metagenome. RNAcentral's name for it is "partial contains 5.8S ribosomal RNA, internal transcribed spacer 2, and large subunit ribosomal RNA". The stretch from base 1 to 120 matches the Rfam family "5.8S ribosomal RNA", at positions 35 to 154 of the family's 154-position model. The record is from RNAcentral.
GAUGAAGAACGUAGCGAAAUGCGAUAAGUAAUGUGAAUUGCAGAAUUCAGUGAAUCAUCGAAUCUUUGAACGCACAUUGCGCCCGCCAGUAUUCUGGCGGGCAUGCCUGUUCGAGCGUCAUUUCAACCAUCAAGCCCUGCUUGCGUUGGGGUCCUGCGGCUGCCCGCAGGCCCUGAAAACCAGUGGCGGGCUCGCUAGUCACACCGAGCGCAGUAAUACAUCUCGCUUUGGGCGUGCGGCGGGUUCUUGCCGUUAAACACCCCCUUUUUACCAAGGUUGACCUCGGAUCAGGUAGGAAUACCCGCUGAACUUAAGCAUAUCAAUAACGGAGGA